GACGAACGCUGGCGGCGUGCUUAACACAUGCAAGUCGAACGGAAAGGCCCGGCUUUUGUUGGUUUCUCGUUUGGCGAACGGGUGAGUAACACGUGAGUAACCUGCCCUUGUCUUUGUGAUAACUUCAGGAGACUGGGGCUCAUACCGGAUAUGAUCUCCUGCUGCAUGGUGUUGGUUGGAAAGUUUCGGCGGUUGGGGAUGUACUCGCGGCUUAUCCGCUUGUUAGUGUGGUAGUGACUUACGAAGGCUUUGACGGGUAGCCGGCCUGAGAGGGUGACCGGCCACAUUGGGACUGAGAUACGGCCCAGAAUGCUACGGGAGGCAGCAGGGGAGAAUAUUGCACAAUGGGCGGAAGCCUGAGGCAGAAACGCCGCGUGCGGGAUGACGGCCUUCGGGUUGUAAACAGAUUUCGAAGGAGACGAAGCGUGAGUGACGGUAAUGGGUAAAGAAGCACCGGCUAACUACGUG
Molecule: ribosomal RNA, 468 nt
Filed under: uncultured bacterium
Lineage: Bacteria
Description: partial 16S ribosomal RNA
Rfam family: Bacterial small subunit ribosomal RNA
Source: RNAcentral